Rhincodon typus (whale shark) is the source of this 1328-nucleotide long non-coding RNA. RefSeq lists it as uncharacterized. The transcript is spliced from 2 exons. The record is from RefSeq and is a predicted model, not a curated record. NCBI's taxonomy places the organism in Eukaryota, Metazoa, Chordata, Chondrichthyes, Orectolobiformes, Rhincodontidae.
CGGAUGGAAGGUAGUUGGUAAAUGUGGGUUUUGUAGGUUAGGAGGGGUAAAUGAAGCAAUUGAAGUUUGUUACAAGAUUCUCAGAUUCCAGACUUUUAUCAUUUGCUCUGGCGCUUGUCAAUAAGGAUUGCGUCAAUGAUGUGUAUUAAAGGGGGCGGGAAGAGUAGAGCGAGGGCUCUUUAGGGGUAGUGGUUAGUGUCUAGGUAAGGUGUUGAUUAGUUCAAAUGGCUGGUGGCCUGUUUGUGAUGCUGAUAAUGUGGGUACAGUUUCCGCACUGGCCGAGGUGAGGGAACAUGAAGGUCUCUUCGUAACCUCUCCCCUUGACUAAAGUGUCGUUAAACCACCAGCAGUCAGUGCUCUCUCUAAUGAGAGAGCAGCCCUAAGUCUGAUAGGACUAUUGUGACUUUACCUUUUAGCUCUGAGUCAGAACGCAGCUUCAAGUCCUGCUUGUUCCAGAGCAGAGGGAGACAUUGUUGAGACAUAAAGCAAGAAGAUUGCCAUAAUGUAGGACCAAAUUACUGCAGAUGCUGGAGAUCACAAUGGGUCAGAUGACAUCAAUGAAGAGAGAGCAAGCUGACGUGGAGUCUAGAUGACUUCAUCAGAGCUGAAGUGAAGUGUGGAGGGCACAGGCAGCAUUUAUGCCAUAACUUUUUUUUUUAAAUGUAGCUUUCUGCACUUUCAGAUGGUGACUCUCAGUAUUAAUGAUCAUUUGGCGUUACUUCUGUGAAACAACUGCAUUUCCAUUCAGCAUUUUAAUGAGGUUUUUUAUUGCCAUGACAGUCAUUGUGAAACUAGAAUAUAAAAAAACUCACCAUAUACCACUAUAUUCAUUGAAAAGAUUGCAAAUGGACUAAAUUAUAACAUUGUAUUAAAGUAGAUGACAGGCACUUUAUUAUUCAACCACUCAAGUGCUGUGUGCUAUUUAAUACAUCUUGCUGUUUUAAAAAUCAUACAAAGCAUCACGAGGUAGCAGUGAACAAAAUAACUUUUUAUUCUUCACCAGUGCACAGCAGAGCUGCAAAAUUUAUUUACAAAUGAUACUGCAUUAGAAGUCAUGCACAAUUCACAAUUUUUCAAGCAUUAAAAAUACUUUAACUGAUUUUCUUUAAGUUUGUUUCAAUUAGGUGGAGUUAUCAUGCAAUGGAAAUAUCUUGUAUCUGUUCUUUGAAAUCUGGCACCAAGUUAGACUGUGACAGAUAUGGGAGAAGAACAGUAAAAUCUCCAUCAUGCCAUGCUUUGAUGCAAGGAUGAAAAUAAUUGUUGCAUGUAUAUUAUACUUGUGUGGAAACCUAGCCAAAAAUAUUAAAAAUAUCAUUCUGCUUCUGAAA